RNAcentral lists this ribosomal RNA (392 nucleotides) under uncultured bacterium. Its description in RNAcentral is "partial 16S ribosomal RNA". It matches the Rfam family "Bacterial small subunit ribosomal RNA", at positions 523 to 918 of the family's 1533-position model. The record is from RNAcentral.
AUACGGAAGGUCCGGGCGUUAUCCGGAUUUAUUGGGUUUAAAGGGAGCGCAGGCGGAGAUGCAAGCGUGACGUCAAAUUUCGGGGCUCAACCCCGUCUCGCGUCGCGAACUGCGUCCCUUGGUUGCGGGAAGGGGAGGCGGGACUCGUGGUGUAGCGGGGAAAUGCAUAGAUAUCACGAAGAACACCAAUCGCGAAGGCAGCAUACGAGGCAUCAUCUGACGCUGAUGCACGAAAGCGUGGGGAUCAAACAGGAUUAGAUACCCUGGUAGUCCACGCUGUAAACUAUGAUAACUAUCUUUUAGCGAUACACAGUUAGAGGGUACGAGAAAUCAUUAAGUUAUCCACCUGGGGAGUACGUUCGCAAGAAUGAAACUUAAAGGAAUUGACGGGG